RNAcentral lists this unclassified non-coding RNA (381 nucleotides) under uncultured bacterium. Its description in RNAcentral is "contains 16S-23S intergenic spacer region". The record is from RNAcentral.
UCCUAGUUUCCUAGGCAGUCCCAUCAGAGUGCCCUAAAAGGUUGCAACUGAUAGCAAGGGUUGCGCUCGUUAAAGGACUUAACCCAACAUCUCACGACACGAGCUGACGACAGCCAUGCAGCACCUGUGCAAUUGUCUCUGCUUUCGCAGAGAAGACUCUAUCUCUAGAGCUGUCAAAUGCAUGUCAAACCCAGGUAAGGUUCCUCGCGUAGUAUCGAAUUAAACCACAUGUUCCACCGCUUGUGCGGACCCCCGUCAAUUCCUUUGAGUUUUAAUCUUGCGACCGUACUCCCCAGGCGGAUCACUUAACGCGUUAGCUACGACACCAAUUCCGCAAAGCGAAACUGACGUCUAGUGAUCAUCGUUUACAGCGUGGACUAC